AGUGAACGCUGGCGGUAGGCCUAACACAUGCAAGUCGAACGGCAGCACAGUAAGAGCUUGCUCUUACGGGUGGCGAGUGGCGGACGGGUGAGGAAUACAUCGGAAUCUACUUUUUCGUGGGGGAUAACGUAGGGAAACUUACGCUAAUACCGCAUACGACCUACGGGUGAAAGCAGGGGAUCUUCGGACCUUGCGCGAUUGAAUGAGCCGAUGUCGGAUUAGCUAGUUGGCGGGGUAAAGGCCCACCAAGGCGACGAUCCGUAGCUGGUCUGAGAGGAUGAUCAGCCACACUGGAACUGAGACACGGUCCAGACUCCUACAGGAGGCAGCAGUGGGGAAUAUUGGACAAUGGGCACAAGCCUGAUCCAGCCAUACCGCGUGGGUGAAGAAGGCCUUCGGGUUGUAAAGCCCUUUUGUUGGGAAAGAAAAGCAGCAGGUUAAUACCCCGCUGUUCUGACGGUACCCAAAGAAUAAGCACCGGCUAACUUCGUG
This 492-nucleotide ribosomal RNA is filed under the name uncultured bacterium. Its description in RNAcentral is "partial 16S ribosomal RNA". It matches the Rfam family "Bacterial small subunit ribosomal RNA", at positions 29 to 507 of the family's 1533-position model. The record is from RNAcentral.